RNAcentral lists this long non-coding RNA (3311 nucleotides) under Mus musculus (house mouse). RNAcentral describes it as "long non-coding RNA chr1:180125338-180128649". The record is from RNAcentral. Lineage: Eukaryota; Metazoa; Chordata; Mammalia; Rodentia; Muridae.
UUUUUUUUUUUUUUUUUUUUUUUUUUUUUUUGAGACAGGGUUUCUCUGUGUAGCCCUGGCUGUCCUGGAACUCACUUUGUAGACCAGGCUGGCCUCGAACUCAGAAAUCCGCCUGCCUCUGCCUCCCAAAUGCUGGGAUUAACGGCGUGCGCCACCACCUGGCCCUGUAUCUUUCUAUGACAGCAUCUAAAGAAGCUGCCAUUAACCAGAACCUGUCAGUAUGGCAGCCUUCAUUGUCUCUUUUCCCAUCGUCCUUCAGCUCCUCCUUGGCUUAGUAACUGACUUUUCCCCUUUAAUUUGUAAAGAAAUAUGUUCAUAAAAACAUAUGAAAAAGUGUAAAUUACCCAGUAGUUAAGUGAGAACUUUGUAGUGGCAUUGUAAAGUAGUCUCUGGGACAAGGUUGUAACAUUGUUAUUUCAUACAACACAAAUACUUACCAUUUCUAAUUGUGGCUUUGAGUCUAACAUUGACAUAGGGUUUCAUAUAUACCAUGUUUUCAGAUGAUUAAAUGCUUUUGUAAACUUAAAAAUCUUUCCCUUGAAAUAGCACAGAAGUAAGGAAACAUCCUAGAGUUGGCCAUUUCUAUGCUAUUAAGCCUCAUUUGCAGGCUGAAGACGUAAAGUUCUAUUAAAUAAUAAAUUAAGUAUACUAUAAGAAAAAUGUUAUAAAUAGUAUUGUUAAUGUAUGGAUACAAAUGACUGGGGAGAGUUUCAUCUGAAUCUUUUAAUACUAAAAGGCACAGACUGUCUCAUUUCAGAUUGUUCCUUUAGAAUUUGGAUCAGAGACCACAAAGAGCCAACGUACAGCUUCAUUUCCUGUUACUUUUCAUAGAGUAUAAUCUCUAGAGUCCAUAUUCAAGACAAAACACUGUAAAUAACUUUAGGAGAAAUUUUCAUAAAGAAAUUUCCAAAAUAAUGUAACUAGUAAGACUAUAUCUGAGGCUAUAAGAUUAAGUAAUUUUUACUUGUUACAGGAUAAUACAAUAUUUAUAUUUUCCAAAUGAAAUAAUACUGCUAUCAUACUAGAGGUUGCUCAUAAGCUCAGUUAACAGAAAUAACUAUUUCACUAAAAAUUUUAUGCUCUGAACACAAAACAUUGGCUUCUUUAUUUCAUUUUAAUACAGUACUUUAAAUAUAUAUUGUGAGGAUAAUUUGCUAGAAAAAUCUUAAUUUAUUCAAGAACCAUUGUGGACUUCUUGCGUGACCCUGUCAUGCAUUAUGAACAAAAAAAAAAUCACAACAUUUGAUUUUUUAUUAUAUACACACAUAUUAUAUAUUUGAACUAGGAGAACAUAAACAAAACUGACAAUAUAGUAAAUAUCUUUUAGUUCCUACUCAUUAGAAUAAGUUAUUAAAAUAGGUUUCCUGCCGGGCCGUGGUGGCGCACGCCUUUAAUCCCAGCACUUGGGAGGCAGAGGCAGGCGGAUUUCUGAGUUCAGGGCCAACCUGGUCUACAGUGUGAGUUCCAGGACAGCCAGGGCUGCACAGAGAAACCCUGCCUUGAAAAUUAUAUAUAUUUUUCCUUAGAGAAAAUGAAUAAGAAUAGAAAAGGUAUUUUUAUAAAAGUAAUCUUUCUCAGUGGAUUAUAAUUUUAAAAUAUUGAGUAAAUUUUUUACACUGUUAGAUUAAGAUUUGCUUCUAAGGUUUGUCUUCGAACAAUAUCAAAAUAUUCCAUCCAUUAAUAUUAUGUGUUACUUUUUAGCUAUUUACCAUUUUAUUGUUUUUUAUAAUUAUCAAGAUAAUAUUAAAUUGAUGUAGCUCUGCUCUUAUGUAUAUCAUAUUUAUUGGCUUUUACUACAUUACUAACUCAAUUAACUACUUAGACUUAAUGCUAUAAUAUCUUUAGUCGUGUCCAUGAGUUAAAUACAGAAAUGAUGAUUCCAUUUUUAAAAGUUUUUAGAGUGCUCUGUGUAAAAAUGUUAUUCGUGUUUGUGUAUAUGAGUUAUUGUCAGCUAAUCUUAAAAUCAGUCUUAGGCAUCUUUAAUUCUAGUGUAUUUAAUGAAUAUCCUGAAAUUUUAGUUAAUUGCUUUUAAUGGUAAGAAGAAACCAUUAAUUACAAAUACAUGAUAAGGAUUAGCAUGUAAUUAUAGUUAAAAUGAACACCACAGUCAUGUUGGUGAUGAUUAAAGGUCUGGUGAGAGGGUAAGUGACAUGUUUUCCUCAUCUGCCUUGUUAAGCUGCGUUUGAGAGAGUCUUCAUAAUGGCAGCAAUCCCCAGAUGAUGUGACAGCGUAGUGGCUUUAUUUCCUUAGCUUCUGCUUUUAAUAGAAUCUUAUAAAAGAUUUGAGUUUGAUGUUCAAAAAAUUUUUUUGCCAAGAGUGUUUUCAUGUUUAAUUAUGCUUUUUGUUUCUUGCGUUUAUUGGAAUUACACAUAGAAAAGUAGAGUUGUAAUUUUCAAACUCCAUAGUGGUUUUUUUUUCAAAAAUCAGAAUGUUAUUGUAAAUGAUAUAGUUGGAUUUUUUUUAAUAUUCCCACUCAAUACCAUUUCAAAAUACUACUGCUGUGUAGUUACUUAGUUUCUUUAAAAAGAAAAAUAAUUAGAUUUUUUAAUGAAAUUGAGUUUUAGUUUAAGAGCAUAUAGCUCUAAAUGCACAGAUAGUGAUUUUUGCUGUUCUAUUUUAUUGUAGGUAACACUAGUUGGUCUUUCUACAGUAUUACUGUAGUUUUCAAUAUAGCCUGGGUUUACUUGUUGCAGCUAAGAAAAUAAUUUUUAUUUCCUCAUUUUUGUUCUCUUUCAUUGACACUAAUUAGUGAAAACUAGUUAAGAAGAAACAACAAAUUAAUACAUGGCAGAAAUUCUUCAAAAGAAAAAGAUUUCUAUUAAAGGGUUCAAGAAUUCUGAAGUCAGCAAUCACAAAUUAAACUGAUAGUGAGUCUUUUUCUUUCUCUAGUGGCUUACUCACUGCCAUGUCAUAUCUUUAUGGGACCAUAAAACAUGCUGAUAAAUGUUUUAACACCUGACUCUGGUCAAUAAACUGCUAAAUAAACUGCCAGUUUUGUGAUAGAAACUCUUGUUCACCCACAGCCGAGAAGGUGGUGCGGCUGCAUGCUUUAACUCUGGUGCUGGACACUGGACACUGUGCUCACCUCUGCUAGCUCACGGUCCCACUACUCAAGGAGUAGGCUUGCUCUAAAAUGUGGGUCAGUAUUAGUGAAAACACAAGCUAUCUGCCCUUGACUGUAGACAUAUUGAAGCCACAAGACUUAGAGGUCAAAGUCAUUGGAACUAUUUAUUCCUAUUCACAGAAUUACCUUGGAUCCAGGGUUUAUUGUCUUACUGUUGAGUAUUAGGGCUUCAGGAUCUCAUGAUAGC